AGCGAACGCUGGCGGCAGGCCUAACACAUGCAAGUCGAACGAACCUUUCGGGGUUAGUGGCGGACGGGUGAGUAACACGUGGGAACGUGCCUUUAGGUUCGGAAUAACUCAGGGAAACUUGUGCUAAUACCGAAUGUGCCCUUCGGGGGAAAGAUUUAUCGCCUUUAGAGCGGCCCGCGUCUGAUUAGCUAGUUGGUUGAGGUAAUGGCUCACCAAGGCGACGAUCAGUAGCUGGUCUGAGAGGAUGAUCAGCCACAUUGGGACUGAGACACGGCCCAAACUCCUACGGGAGGCAGCAGUGGGGAAUCUUGCGCAAUGGGCGAAAGCCUGACGCAGCCAUGCCGCGUGAAUGAUGAAGGUCUUAGGAUUGUAAAAUGCUUUCACCGGGGACGAUAAUGACGGUACCCGGAGAAGAAGCCCCGGCUAACUUCGUG
RNAcentral lists this ribosomal RNA (434 nucleotides) under uncultured bacterium. RNAcentral's name for it is "partial 16S ribosomal RNA". It matches the Rfam family "Bacterial small subunit ribosomal RNA", at positions 29 to 507 of the family's 1533-position model. The record is from RNAcentral.